RNAcentral lists this transfer RNA (74 nucleotides) under Candidatus Poribacteria bacterium. Its description in RNAcentral is "tRNA-Lys". It matches the Rfam family "tRNA". Rfam says of the family: Transfer RNA (tRNA) molecules are approximately 80 nucleotides in length. Their secondary structure includes four short double-helical elements and three loops (D, anti-codon, and T loops). Lineage: Bacteria; Candidatus Poribacteria. The record is from RNAcentral.
GCGCCGUUAGCUCAACCAGGCAGAGCAUCUGACUCUUAAUCAGGCGGUUGAAGGUUCGAUUCCUUCACGGCGCA